This 375-nucleotide ribosomal RNA is filed under the name uncultured Glomeromycotina. RNAcentral's name for it is "LSU rRNA". The record is from RNAcentral. Lineage: Eukaryota; Fungi; Glomeromycota.
UUGAAAGGGAAACGAUUGAAGUCAGUCAUACCAACGGGAAAUCAACCUUUUGAGCUUGGUCUCGUGGGUUUUGAAGAGUUUCAAAGCCUUCGGAUUCGCGGGAUUGGGAUCUCUCGGUGUACUUUUUCGUACGGUUAGUCAACAUCGGUUUUGAAUGUCAUAAAAUGACUGGAGGAAUGUAGCUUCGAUUUCGUAUUGAAGUGUUAUAGCCUUUGGUAGAUGUGAUGUUUGAGACCGAGGAUUGCAACGGAUACCCUUCAGGGCUAUUCGUCUGAUCUCUGAUACGUUGCCUUGAUGUUGAAAGCUUGCUUAUGAUGUUAGGGUAUUACGGUCAAAAGGUUAGAACGAAUUACAUUCGUUAAGGAUGUUGACGUA